UGGAAAGUCUCAUGCCCAUACCACAUACUGUCGAAUGUCGAGAUUGCUCACGGGAAUUGAUAGUGAUUUAAAUAAUAAAUAGUCUGCUGCACUUGCAUAUGAACCGGUUCUUGUUUGGUUCAAGCCAAUUUUUAGCCGGUUCAGUCUAUUCUUUCUAGGUUAAUUGCACAAACAAACCAUAUCCUCAGACCGAACUGGUCCAAGAUGUGGCUCACCUGUUCAUUAGUUGGACUGGUCGGUCUGGUUUGAUAACGAUGCAAAUUGGCACCAUCAUCCAUUUGUUUCAACAUUAUAUUUUAAGUUAUCUAACUAAAUAUUUUAUUUUGUUUUUUGAAGAGUGAAUUGCGAGAAAAGGACCUAAAAUGAGCAUUUCUUUUACGCAAGAGAUUAGAAACAGUAUCAAUUACAGAGAGGAUUGAAAGCAACAGGGAGGCCCUAGGACUUGGUAGUGGGUUUAGGAGCUCCACAGCCCAUAAAAAGCUUUUGAUUUUGAUAGUGGCGUCCCUGUCUCCAUAGAAAUCUCUUCAACCUUAUCUCAUAAGAAGACAAUUCCAGAUAUAUUGUGCUUGCUUGUCCUUUUGCUGAUCAUAAUGUUUUCCUGAACUGGACAGGCUAUUUUUGUUGACUUUGGCAACAAAAACUUGUGUUUGAUUAAGGGAUUUCUUUUGACUUUGAGGGACCCCUGUGAAAGCCUCCAUAAGAUCUGCCUCUGCUUGUGUUUCAUGGAGGAGCAAAAUCAAAGGUGGUACAGGGCCCAUCUUUCUUAACCAUUAAGAGCAAUGAUAAUGUGCUGAUUUUGCUUAGAA
Molecule: long non-coding RNA, 806 nt
Organism: Populus euphratica (Euphrates poplar)
Lineage: Eukaryota; Viridiplantae; Streptophyta; Magnoliopsida; Malpighiales; Salicaceae
Exons: 2
Source: RefSeq, a predicted model, not a curated record